UGCAAGUCGAACGCGUUGGCCCAAUUGAUUGAUGGUGCUUGCACCUGAUUGAUUUUGGUCGCCAACGAGUGGCGGACGGGUGAGUAACACGUAGGUAACCUGCCCAGAAGCGGGGGACAACAUUUGGAAACAGAUGCUAAUACCGCAUAACAGCGUUGUUCGCAUGAACAACGCUUAAAAGAUGGCUUCUCGCUAUCACUUCUGGAUGGACCUGCGGUGCAUUAGCUUGUUGGUGGGGUAACGGCCUACCAAGGCGAUGAUGCAUAGCCGAGUUGAGAGACUGAUCGGCCACAAUGGGACUGAGACACGGCCCAUACUCCUACGGGAGGCAGCAGUAGGGAAUCUUCCACAAUGGGCGCAAGCCUGAUGGAGCAACACCGCGUGAGUGAAGAAGGGUUUCGGCUCGUAAAGCUCUGUUGUUAAAGAAGAACACGUAUGAGAGUAACUGUUCAUACGUUGACGGUAUUUAACCAGAAAGUCACGGCUAACUACGUGCCAGCAGCCGCGGUAAUACGUAGGUGGCAAGCGUUAUCCGGAUUUAUUGGGCGUAAAGAGAGUGCAGGCGGUUUUCUAAGUCUGAUGUGAAAGCCUUCGGCUUAACCGGAGAAGUGCAUCGGAAACUGGAUAACUUGAGUGCAGAAGAGGGUAGUGGAACUCCAUGUGUAGCGGUGGAAUGCGUAGAUAUAUGGAAGAACACCAGUGGCGAAGGCGGCUACCUGGUCUGCAACUGACGCUGAGACUCGAAAGCAUGGGUAGCGAACAGGAUUAGAUACCCUGGUAGUCCAUGCCGUAAACGAUGAGUGCUAGGUGUUGGAGGGUUUCCGCCCUUCAGUGCCGGAGCUAACGCAUUAAGCACUCCGCCUGGGGAGUACGACCGCAAGGUUGAAACUCAAAGGAAUUGACGGGGGCCCGCACAAGCGGUGGAGCAUGUGGUUUAAUUCGAAGCUACGCGAAGAACCUUACCAGGUCUUGACAUCUUGCGCCAACCCUAGAGAUAGGGCGUUUCCUUCGGGAACGCAAUGACAGGUGGUGCAUGGUCGUCGUCAGCUCGUGUCGUGAGAUGUUGGGUUAAGUCCCGCAACGAGCGCAACCCUUGUUACUAGUUGCCAGCAUUAAGUUGGGCACUCUAGUGAGACUGCCGGUGACAAACCGGAGGAAGGUGGGGACGACGUCAGAUCAUCAUGCCCCUUAUGACCUGGGCUACACACGUGCUACAAUGGACGGUACAACGAGUCGCGAACUCGCGAGGGCAAGCAAAUCUCUUAAAACCGUUCUCAGUUCGGACUGCAGGCUGCAACUCGCCUGCACGAAGUCGGAAUCGCUAGUAAUCGCGGAUCAGCAUGCCGCGGUGAAUACGUUCCCGGGCCUUGUACACACCGCCCGUCACACCAUGAGAGUUUGUAACACCCAAAGUCGGUGGGGUAACCUUUUAGGAGCCAGCCGCCUAAG
This 1449-nucleotide ribosomal RNA is filed under the name Limosilactobacillus fermentum. RNAcentral describes it as "bacterial SSU rRNA". It matches the Rfam family "Bacterial small subunit ribosomal RNA". The record is from RNAcentral. Lineage: Bacteria; Bacillati; Bacillota; Bacilli; Lactobacillales; Lactobacillaceae.